CAGUCGCCACGGUAAUACGAGGGGGGCAAGCGUUGUUCGGAAUUAUUGGGCGUAAAGGGUGCGUAGGCGGUUUCGCAAGUCUUGUGUGAAAUCUAUGGGCUCAACCCAUAGUCUGCACAGGAAACUGCGAGGCUUGAGGAUGGGAGAGGUGAGUGGAAUUUCCGGUGUGGCGGUGAAAUGCGUAGAUAUCGGAAGGAACACCUGUGGCGAAAGCGGCUCACUGGACCAUUUCUGACGCUGAUGCACGAAAGCUAGAGGAGCAAACAGGAUUAGAUACCCCCGUAGUCCCUGUCUCUUAUAC
RNAcentral lists this ribosomal RNA (301 nucleotides) under uncultured bacterium. RNAcentral's name for it is "partial 16S ribosomal RNA". It matches the Rfam family "Bacterial small subunit ribosomal RNA", at positions 509 to 807 of the family's 1533-position model. The record is from RNAcentral.